GUAGGUGGCAAGCGUUGUCCGGAAUUAUUGGGCGUAAAGCGCGCGCAGGCGGUUCUUUAAGUCUGAUGUGAAAGCCCACGGCUCAACCGUGGAGGGUCAUUGGAAACUGGAGAACUUGAGUACAGAAGAGGAAAGCAGAAUUCCACGUGUAGCGGUGAAAUGCGUAGAGAUGUGGAGGAACACCAGUGGCGAAGGCGGCUUUCUGGUCUGUAACUGACGCUGAGGCGCGAAAGCGGUGGGGGAGGCAAACAGGAUUAGAUACCCUGGUAGUCCACGCCGUAAACCGAUGAGUGCUAAGUGGUUUAGGGGGUUUCCGCCCCUUAGUGCUGCAGCUAACGCAUUAAGCACUCCGCCUGGGAGUACGGCCGCAAGGCUG
RNAcentral lists this ribosomal RNA (376 nucleotides) under uncultured organism. RNAcentral describes it as "partial 16S ribosomal RNA". It matches the Rfam family "Bacterial small subunit ribosomal RNA", at positions 527 to 896 of the family's 1533-position model. The record is from RNAcentral.